RNAcentral lists this ribosomal RNA (519 nucleotides) under bacterium A4T_VP5_F11. Its description in RNAcentral is "bacterial SSU rRNA". It matches the Rfam family "Bacterial small subunit ribosomal RNA", at positions 337 to 874 of the family's 1533-position model. The record is from RNAcentral.
UCCUACGGGAGGCAGCAGUGGGGAAUCUUGGACAAUGGGCGCAAGCCUGAUCCAGCCAUGCCGCGUGAGUGAUGAAGGCCUUAGGGUCGUAAAGCUCUUUCGCCAGGGAUGAUAAUGACAGUACCUGGUAAAGAAACCCCGGCUAACUCCGUGCCAGCAGCCGCGGUAAUACGGAGGGGGUUAGCGUUGUUCGGAAUUACUGGGCGUAAAGCGCGCGUAGGCGGGUUGUUAAGUUAGAGGUGAAAUCCCAGGGCUCAACCCUGGAACUGCCUUUAAUACUGGCAACCUAGAGUUCGAGAGAGGUGAGUGGAAUUCCGAGUGUAGAGGUGAAAUUCGUAGAUAUUCGGAGGAACACCAGUGGCGAAGGCGGCUCACUGGCUCGAUACUGACGCUGAGGUGCGAAAGUGUGGGGAGCAAACAGGAUUAGAUACCCUGGUAGUCCACACCGUAAACGAUGAAUGCCAGUCGUCGGGUAGCAUGCUAUUCGGUGACACACCUAACGGAUUAAGCAUUCCGCCU